This 23-nucleotide non-coding RNA is filed under the name Arabidopsis thaliana (thale cress). Lineage: Eukaryota; Viridiplantae; Streptophyta; Magnoliopsida; Brassicales; Brassicaceae. The record is from RNAcentral.
UACGUAGAGAUUUUGAUACUGUU